UACGGAGGGUGCAAGCGUUGUCCGGAUUCAUUGGGUUUAAAGGGUGCGCAGGCGGGACAUUAAGUCAGGGGUGAAAGACGGUUGCUCAACAAUCGCAGUGCCUUUGAUACUGGUGUUCUUGGGUAACCUUGAGGUAGGCGGAAUGGGUCGUGUAGCGGUGAAAUGCAUAGAUACCACCCAGAACUCCGAUUGCGAAGGCAGCCUACUGGAGGUUUACCGACGCUCAGGCACGAAAGCGUGGGGAUCAAACAGG
RNAcentral lists this ribosomal RNA (253 nucleotides) under uncultured bacterium. Its description in RNAcentral is "partial 16S ribosomal RNA". It matches the Rfam family "Bacterial small subunit ribosomal RNA", at positions 524 to 776 of the family's 1533-position model. The record is from RNAcentral.